RNAcentral lists this ribosomal RNA (292 nucleotides) under uncultured bacterium. RNAcentral describes it as "partial 16S ribosomal RNA". It matches the Rfam family "Bacterial small subunit ribosomal RNA", at positions 505 to 796 of the family's 1533-position model. The record is from RNAcentral.
GUGCCAGCAGCCGCGGUAAUACGUAGGGUCCGAGCGUUGUCCGGAAUCAUUGGGCGUAAAGAGCGUGUAGGCGGCUUGGUAGGUCACGUGUUAAAGCCUGCGGCUCAACCGCAGAAUCGCACGUGAAACCACCUGGCUAGAGUCCGGAAGAGGAGAGCGGAAUUCCUGGUGUAGCGGUGAAAUGCGCAGAUAUCAGGAAGAACACCCGUGGCGAAGGCGGCUCUCUGGGACGGUACUGACGCUGAGACGCGAAAGCGUGGGGAGCGAACAGGAUUAGAAACCCCCGUAGUCC